RNAcentral lists this ribosomal RNA (117 nucleotides) under Listeria monocytogenes. RNAcentral describes it as "partial 16S ribosomal RNA". It matches the Rfam family "Bacterial small subunit ribosomal RNA", at positions 1426 to 1533 of the family's 1533-position model. Lineage: Bacteria; Bacillati; Bacillota; Bacilli; Caryophanales; Listeriaceae. The record is from RNAcentral.
GUCGGUAGGGUAACCUUUAUGGAGCCAGCCGCCGAAGGUGGGACAGAUAAUUGGGGUGAAGUCGUAACAAGGUAGCCGUAUCGGAAGGUGCGGCUGGAUCACCUCCUUUCUAAGGAA